GUGCCAGCAGCCGCGGUAAUACGGAGGGUGCAAGCGUUACUCGGAAUCACUGGGCGUAAAGCGCGCGCAGGCGGCCUUUUAAGUUGGAUGUGAAAGCCUAUGGCUCAACCAUAGAACUGCAUCCAAAACUAUUAGGCUAGAGUGUGGGAGAGGAAGAUGGAAUUAGUUGUGUAGGGGUAAAAUCCGUAGAGAUAACUAGGAAUACCAAAAGCGAAGGCAAUCUUCUGGAACAUUACUGACGCUGAGGCGCGAAAGCGUGGGGAGCAAACAGGAUUAGAUACCCUGGUAGUCCACGCCCUAAACGAUGAAUGUUAGUCGUCGGGUAGCUAGUCUAUUCGGUGAUGCAGCUAACGCAUUAAACAUUCCGCCUGGGGAGUACGGUCGCAAGAUUAAAACUCAAAGGAAUAGACGGGGACCCGCACAAGUGGUGGAGCAUGUGGUUUAAUUCGAAGAUACGCGAAGAACCUUACCUAGCCUUGACAUAUAUUAGAACUCAGCAGAGAUGCAGAGGUGCCUUCGGGAGCUUUUAUACAGGUGCUGCACGGCUGUCGUCAGCUCGUGUCGUGAGAUGUUGGGUUAAGUCCCGCAACGAGCGCAACCCUCGUCACUAGUUACUAACGGUUCGGCCGAGGACUCUAGUGAGACUGCCUUCGUAAGGAGGAGGAAGGUGAGGACGACGUCNAGUCAUCAUGGCCCUUACGGCUAGGGCAACACACGUGCUACAAUGGCCAGGACAGUGAGACNCNNNCCGCGAGGNGGAGCAAAUCUAUAAACCUGGUCUCAGUUCGGAUUGUAGUCUGCAACUCGAC
RNAcentral lists this ribosomal RNA (809 nucleotides) under uncultured Sulfurovum sp. RNAcentral's name for it is "bacterial SSU rRNA". It matches the Rfam family "Bacterial small subunit ribosomal RNA", at positions 505 to 1316 of the family's 1533-position model. The record is from RNAcentral. Lineage: Bacteria; Pseudomonadati; Campylobacterota; Epsilonproteobacteria; Campylobacterales; Sulfurovaceae.